AACGAACGCUGGCGGCAGGCUUAACACAUGCAAGUCGAACGCCCCGCAAGGGGAGUGGCAGACGGGUGAGUAACGCGUGGGAACAUACCCUUUCCUGCGGAAUAGCUCCGGGAAACUGGAAUUAAUACCGCAUACGCCCUACGGGGGAAAGAUUUAUCGGGGAAGGAUUGGCCCGCGUUGGAUUAGCUAGUUGGUGGGGUAAAGGCCUACCAAGGCGACGAUCCAUAGCUGGUCUGAGAGGAUGAUCAGCCACAUUGGGACUGAGACACGGCCCAAACUCCUACGGGAGGCAGCAGUGGGGAAUAUUGGACAAUGGGCGCAAGCCUGAUCCAGCCAUGCCGCGUGAGUGAUGAAGGCCUUAGGGUUGUAAACCUCUUUCAGUAGGGAAGAAGCGAAAGUGACGGUACCUGCAGAAGAAGCACCGGCUAACUACGUG
Molecule: ribosomal RNA, 436 nt
Filed under: uncultured bacterium
Lineage: Bacteria
Description: partial 16S ribosomal RNA
Rfam family: Bacterial small subunit ribosomal RNA
Source: RNAcentral